Brachypodium distachyon (stiff brome) is the source of this 125-nucleotide non-coding RNA. The record is from Rfam. NCBI's taxonomy places the organism in Eukaryota, Viridiplantae, Streptophyta, Magnoliopsida, Poales, Poaceae.
AAGCUACUCCCUCCGAUCUUAAAUUGUUGUCAAAAUAUUACAAGUAUCUAGACAUCUUUUAAAAAUAGAUACGUCCAUAUUUAGGCAAAUUUGAGACAAGAAUUUAGGAUCGGAGGGAGUAUAUA